GACGAACGCUGGCGGCGUGCUUAACACAUGCAAGUCGAACGGAAAGGCCCUGCUUUUGUGGGGUGCUCGAGUGGCGAACGGGUGAGUAACACGUGAGUAACCUGCCCUUGACUUUGGGAUAACUUCAGGAAACUGGGGCUAAUACCGGAUAGGAGCUCCUGCUGCAUGGUGGGGGUUGGAAAGUUUCGGCGGUUGGGGAUGGACUCGCGGCUUAUCAGCUUGUUGGUGGGGUAGUGGCUUACCAAGGCUUUGACGGGUAGCCGGCCUGAGAGGGUGACCGGCCACAUUGGGACUGAGAGACGGCCCAGACUCCUACGGGAGGCAGCAGGGGGGAAUAUUGCACAAUGGGCGGAAGCCUGAUGCAGCAACGCCGCGUGCGGGAUGACGGCCUUUGGGUUGUAAACCGCUUUCGCCUGUGACGAAGCGUGAGUGACGGUAAUGGGUAAAGAAGCACCGGCUAACUACGUG
Molecule: ribosomal RNA, 468 nt
Filed under: uncultured bacterium
Lineage: Bacteria
Description: partial 16S ribosomal RNA
Rfam family: Bacterial small subunit ribosomal RNA
Source: RNAcentral